RNAcentral lists this ribosomal RNA (252 nucleotides) under uncultured bacterium. RNAcentral's name for it is "partial 16S ribosomal RNA". It matches the Rfam family "Bacterial small subunit ribosomal RNA", at positions 524 to 776 of the family's 1533-position model. The record is from RNAcentral.
UACGUAGGGGGCUAGCGUUAUCCGGAAUUACUUGGCGUAAAGGGUGCGUAGGUGGUUUUUCAAGUCAGGAGUGAAAGGCUACGGCUCAACCGUAGUAAGCUCUUGAAACUGUAAAACUUGAGUGCAGGAGAGGAGAGUGGAAUUCCUAGUGUAGCGGUGAAAUGCGUAGAUAUUAGGAGGAACACCAGUUGCGAAGGCGGCUCUCUGGACUGUAACUGACACUGAGGCACGAAAGCGUGUGGAGCAAAUAGG